Long non-coding RNA from Anopheles arabiensis, 1536 nucleotides. RefSeq lists it as uncharacterized. Lineage: Eukaryota; Metazoa; Arthropoda; Insecta; Diptera; Culicidae. The record is from RefSeq and is a predicted model, not a curated record. The transcript is spliced from 3 exons.
CGUUAACCCAGAAGUUGAAUGAAAUUCACCCCGAACCAUAACCAGGUGUCUGUAAUGUAACAAUCAUCAUCCAUUGAAGCUCAUUGUGCAACCACAAGCAAUGCAAUAAAAAGAUCAACGGAGGACGAAUAUGUCCCAAAAGGAAAGGUGUCUAUGAAGAAUCAAUUUUCGGGCCAGAAGUACCUUUGUGGGAAGCAAUCUGCGGCAACCACUUCAGGCAAGAGUUGGUUCAGCUGUUGUUCAUUUCGGAGGCGCACUUUCUCCUUCAAAGAAUGGCACAAGGACAGACAAAUAGGGACAGGAUCAUUUAGGAGGCAGGGUCCUUUAGGUUGCUUCUGCCAAGCAAUCGGAAGAAGUCAUUAUGGGAAUUAAUUGAUGUGUAAAUAGUGGAAACAUACUCCCGGGCUACGAGAGUGUGUUUGAGUAGGCUGUGGCGUGGUUCUGGAGAUUUCCGUUGGUCCAGAAGGCACACGAAGGUUUUGCUUGUUUGCUGUUUGUGGGACAGAAGUAAGAAGACAUUGAUCGAAGCAUUGUGAGCUAGUCAAAUUUCUAACAGAUUUUAAUUCCUACCCUUCAGUGUCAGGAGACGGUCACCAAUCGUCGGAAAAAGCAUCACGGUAUGUUUUGUUAAUUCCAGCAACUACCGGCGGCAAUGUACAAUGUGUCACAAAAUGAGAAACAUACCCCGAAGGCUGUACGCCACCCCGUCUCAUCCGGAAUCAGUAAGCUGUUUUACGCCAAAUCAAAGUUACAAAAACAAACCCACACGGGAACCGGCUAAUCGUAACCAUCCAUGCACGUGGCCUACUACUUCUUGGUGUUGUGGUCGUCAACUAUUUCGGUCUAGAGAGAACCACACCGAUGAAAAGGACAUGAAAAAGGGCCGCUAACCCUGGCAAUGGUUUCAAUUACAAUGUUCAACGUUCGAUUCCCCUAGUAUUCCCCGGUCAAAGUUACAGCAUAAUUGAGUGUAAUAAUGAUAACGAAGGGUUUGAUGUUUGACGAAAGCGCCGAGGAUUAUAUGCCACGCCCGAAUGCCCGAAUGGAUUUAAGCACGUUCGACAUGGUUUACCGUCGUGUCUAUGUAGCUCCGUAUUCUAAAUCGCCAUGACUAUUUUCGGAGCAUAUUAAAAUCAUCACUGAACCGUCGCAUCACAAAUCAUUUUGUCACGAGUUUCGUUAUGUCAUUUUCAUGAUUCAAACGCGUUUCAAUUAUGAUUGUUUGCAAAUGGCGCAGAGCUGGUAAGAGGAAAUGUGGAAUGAUGGAAGAUACGGUGUAGGAUCAAAGAUGGUAGAAAUUAUUCAGCAAGUUAUUUGGAUUAUUCUUUCAAAGCCAGAGUGUCUUGAUAGAGAAGAAUGCGUCUUUUAGGAAAAUGGCUACAAUAAUUCGAUCUUUGCUUGUGAAAAGGGCUGAAUGUAAUGAAAAAAAUCCCCGAAAAAAUAUUUCCAUGUUGUGUGCUAAUCGAUAAAACAUUGGAUGAAGCAAACAAGCAGAAAAAAAUCACCAUUCACUUUAUAAAAUACAGCUUUUGUAGA